Long non-coding RNA from Planococcus citri (citrus mealybug), 750 nucleotides. RefSeq lists it as uncharacterized. Lineage: Eukaryota; Metazoa; Arthropoda; Insecta; Hemiptera; Pseudococcidae. The record is from RefSeq and is a predicted model, not a curated record. The transcript has 2 exons.
AAUAUCGCCGCAUUCGAUACUAUAAAUACGACAGCCACGAGAGAAAAAAAAUCAUUCAGUAUUCUGAUUUACAAACGGACAGUUCAACUGUAAUUUCAAAUUUGAAAACAAAUACCAGUGCAUAUCAAUCGACAAUUUUUUUAAAAAUGAAUCCAGCAAAUCGGAAUGAACUACGACCCGACGAAAGAUGCUAUCAACAAGUGAUGAAGUGCAGAUGUAUCGUCAAGGAAAGGGAUUUAUAUCCUCCUCGUCCUAAACCAACACCGAUAGUAACAGAUCCUUGCGCGAACUUGCAAUUCGACGAUCCCGACCUCGAUUUCGGAGAAGUAGAAUCUACUCCAGGUAUCCUCACAAAAGACGUUGAAUUGGUGCCACCCAAAAAAUAUCAAUAUCAAGGAAAUCCGCAUCAAGGAAAUUCGUCCCAAGGAAAUCAGUUUCAAGGAUAUCAGUAUCAAGGAUAUCAGUUUCAAGAAGAUCCCUUCCAAGGGAAUUUGUUUCAACAAAUUCCGUAUGAAGGAUACGAUGGGUUUGGAAAUAUCGUAAGGCGUGACACUCGUGACAGGUCUAAAAGAAACGCUAAUGCAUCCAAUGUAAAAUGGGGCAAGAGUGGUAUGCGUAAAUUUUUUUGAUGCGAAUGUCUCGUUUUGAAUUACUUAAGUACUUACUUAUUGAAUAAACUAUUAAAAUAGACGAAACUGUAUAAUUGUAGGUAGUAUAAUUUUUAUUCGAAAUAAAUGUGAUUAAAAGGUA